GACGAACGCUGGCGGCGUGCUUAACACAUGCAAGUCGAACGAUGAAGCCGGGGCUUUUUGUUUUGGUGGAUUAGUGGCGAACGGGUGAGUAAUACGUGAGUAACCUGCCCUUGUCUUUGGGAUAAGCCUGGGAAACUGGGUCUAAUACCGGAUAUUCUGCUUUUGCCGCAUGGUGGAGGUUGGAAAGAUUUUUUGGAUGGGGAUGGGCUCACGGCCUAUCAGCUUGUUGGUGGGGUGAUGGCCUACCAAGGCGUCGAUGGGUAGGGGAACUGAGAGGUUUAUCCCCCACAUUGGUACUGAGACACGGACCAA
This 312-nucleotide ribosomal RNA is filed under the name uncultured bacterium. RNAcentral describes it as "bacterial SSU rRNA". It matches the Rfam family "Bacterial small subunit ribosomal RNA", at positions 28 to 334 of the family's 1533-position model. The record is from RNAcentral.